Triticum aestivum (bread wheat) is the source of this 135-nucleotide non-coding RNA. NCBI's taxonomy places the organism in Eukaryota, Viridiplantae, Streptophyta, Magnoliopsida, Poales, Poaceae. The record is from Rfam.
UUUAUACUCCCUCUGUCCCAAAAUUCUUGUCUUAGAUUUGCCUAUAUACGGAUAUAUCUAAUACUAAAAUGUGACUUGAUACAUCCGUAUUUAGACAAAUCUAAGACAAGAAUUUUGGGAUGGAGGGAGUAUUAC